GCCCGGUUAGCUCAGUUGGUAGAGCAUCAGACUUUUAAUCUGAGGGCCACGGGUUCGAGUCCCAUAUCGGUCU
RNAcentral lists this transfer RNA (73 nucleotides) under Paramuricea clavata. It matches the Rfam family "tRNA". Rfam says of the family: Transfer RNA (tRNA) molecules are approximately 80 nucleotides in length. The record is from Rfam by way of RNAcentral. Lineage: Eukaryota; Metazoa; Cnidaria; Anthozoa; Malacalcyonacea; Plexauridae.